CCUGGUUGAUCCUGCCAGUAGUCAUAUGCUUGUCUCAAAGAUUACGCAAUGUAUGUGUUAGUAUGAACUAAUUCAUAUUGUGAAACUGCGAAUGGCUCAUUAAAUCAGUUAUAGUUUGUUUGAUGGUAUCUUCUACUCGAAAAACCGUAGUAAUUCUAGAGCUAAUACGUGCAACAAACCCUAACUUCUGGUAAGGAUGCAUUGAUUAGAUGAAAGGCCGACGUGGGCUCUACCCGUUGCUGCGAUGAUUCAUGAUAACUCGACGGAUCGCACGGCCCUUAUGUUUGCGAUACAUCAUUCAAAUUUCUGGUCUAUCGACUUUUGAUGGUAAGAUAGUGGCCUACCAUGGUGGUGACGGGUGACGGAAAAUUAGGGUUCGACUUCGGAGGAGGAGCCUGAGAAAUGGUUACCACAUCCACAGAAGGCAACAGACACACAAAUUACCCAAUCCUGACACGGGGAGGUAGUGACAAUAAAUAACAAUACCAGGUUCUUUGAGUUUGCUAAUUGGAAUGAGUUACAAUCUAAAUCUCUUAACGAGGAUCCAUUGGAAGGAAAGUCUGGUGCCAGCAGCCACGGUAAUUCUAGCUCCAAUAGUGUAUAUUUAAGUUAUUGCAGUUAAAAAGCUCGUAGUUAGACUUUGAGAUGGGCUGACCGGUCCGCCAAUCGGUGUGAACUGAUCGUCUCGUCCCUUCUGCCGGCGAUGUGCUCCUGGUCUUAAUUGGCUGGGUCGUGCCUCCGGCGCUGUUACUUUGAAGAAAUUAGAAUGUUCAAAGCAAGCCUAUGCUCUGGAUAUAUUAGCAUGGGAUAACAAUAUAGGAUUUCGGUCCUAUUUUGUUGGCCUUCGGGAUCGGAGUAAUGAUUAACAGGGACAGUCGGGGGUAUUCGUAUUUCAUAGUCAGAGGUGAAAUCCUUAGAUUUAUGAAAGACGAACAACUGUGAAAGCAUUUGCCAAAGAUGUUUUCAUUAAUCAAGAAUGAAACUUGGGGGCUCGAAGACGACCAGAUACUGUCCUAGUCUCAACCAUAAACGAUGCCGACCAGGGAUCGGUGGAUGUUACUUUAGGACUCCGCCGGCACCUUAUGAGAAAUCAAAGUUUUGGGGUUCCAGGGGGAGUAUGGUCGCAAGGCUGAAACUUAAAGGAAUUAACAGAAGGGCACAACCAGGAGUAGAGCCUGCGGCUUAAUUUGACUAACUACGGGAAAACUUACCAAGUCCAGACAUAGUAAGGAUUGACAAACUGAGAGCUCUUUCCUUUCCUUUUUUUUAUCUAAAUGUAAAAAUAUAUUAAGAUAAAAAAUGAAGUUACAUAUACAUACAGGCAUACCCGCGGCUUUCAUACAACUACUCGGCAGACAUGCCGAGAACAUUCACUCAAACUACAUCAAGGAGAAGUACAAAGUUUAAUCAAGUCAAAAUAUGGGGAUAUGAGGCAUAAAUUACCUUAUAUACCUGUAUUUUGAUCUUGCUUACAAUAUAGUCCCUAUCCGGUGAAUAGCUUCCAAAAACUACUCUGUUCCUGCACUUCCAAAGGUAGUACACUAUCGCUUCAAAGCAAAGCUUCUUGAAGCUGUUAAUCCAUGAAGG
RNAcentral lists this ribosomal RNA (1587 nucleotides) under Catharanthus roseus (Madagascar periwinkle). RNAcentral describes it as "SSU rRNA". It matches the Rfam family "Eukaryotic small subunit ribosomal RNA", at positions 3 to 1434 of the family's 1831-position model. Lineage: Eukaryota; Viridiplantae; Streptophyta; Magnoliopsida; Gentianales; Apocynaceae. The record is from RNAcentral.